AAUCAGUCCGUCAAAUGACCACGUUACCCUUAAAGAUGCAACAGUUAGCACUUAGGGAUGCUUUAGAGGUGAGUCUCCUACAAAGGGCCAUGUGGGUCCCGCUAGGUCUCAGUAUGAUGCAUAUAAGCAUGACCUAAAGGCUGACCUACGUUGUGGUUCACUAACAAGGCUGUUCGGGGGAGCGUAUGAUCGAUAGUGGCUGCUUUACUUUCCACCUACUCCAUAACGCCGACG
RNAcentral lists this long non-coding RNA (234 nucleotides) under Capsicum annuum. RNAcentral's name for it is "long non-coding RNA (CANN_LNC021617)". Lineage: Eukaryota; Viridiplantae; Streptophyta; Magnoliopsida; Solanales; Solanaceae. The record is from RNAcentral.